This 253-nucleotide ribosomal RNA is filed under the name uncultured bacterium. RNAcentral describes it as "partial 16S ribosomal RNA". It matches the Rfam family "Bacterial small subunit ribosomal RNA", at positions 524 to 776 of the family's 1533-position model. The record is from RNAcentral.
UACGGAGGGUGCAAGCGUUGUCCGGAUUUAUUGGGUUUAAAGGGUGCGUAGGUGGCUUAUUAAGUCAGUGUUUAAAGUCUGCAGCUUAACUGUAGGUAUGGCAUUGAUACUGGUAGGCUUGAGUAAAGUUGAGGUAGGCGGAAUUGAAGGUGUAGCGGUGAAAUGCAUAGAUAUCUUCAAGAACACCGAUUGCGAAGGCAGCUUACUAAGCUUUAACUGACACUGAGGCACGAAAGCGUGGGGAUCAAACAGG